Molecule: ribosomal RNA, 229 nt
Filed under: uncultured bacterium
Lineage: Bacteria
Description: partial 16S ribosomal RNA
Rfam family: Bacterial small subunit ribosomal RNA
Source: RNAcentral
CGUGUAGGCGGCUUGGUAAGUCGGAUGUGAAAGUCCCGGGCUCAACCCGGGAAGUGCAUUCGAAACUGCUAGGCUUGAGUAAGAGAGAGGAAAGUGGAAUUCCUGGUGUAGAGGUGAAAUUCGUAGAUAUCAGGAGGUACACCGGUGGCGAAGGCGACUUUCUGGCUCUAUACUGACGCUGAGACGCGAAAGCGUGGGUAGCAAACAGGAUUAGAUACCCUGGUAGUCC